This is a long non-coding RNA of Pteropus alecto (black flying fox), 437 nucleotides long. RefSeq lists it as uncharacterized. The transcript is spliced from 2 exons. NCBI's taxonomy places the organism in Eukaryota, Metazoa, Chordata, Mammalia, Chiroptera, Pteropodidae. The record is from RefSeq and is a predicted model, not a curated record.
CUGCGGUCCAGCGCAACUUUCUGCAGCGUCAGGUUAUGAAUCACUCAUCAAAUCCGUGUCUGAUUCCAGGCCGGGCUGGGUGCAUGGGGGAGGGGGGCAUGCAUUCCACUCCCAGCUCAGGGGGCCGUGUGGGCUGGGCUGGACCAGUUUCUCCUGACUCUGAGUCCCCAGGGGUCAUCUCUAGAAAUGCCCAGACUGGGUUAGGUCUCAUCUACUGCUCCAGGCCCUCCACACAGAUGAGCUCCUUGAGGCCUCAGAAUGACCAGAUGCUUGAGGGCUUGGGACCAAGAACAUUUGAGGUUUCCUGACUUUGAAGAAAUCAUCAACACAGAUACGGACAGAACAGGCAUUUUUAAGAACAAGAAAAUCUUGAAGAGAGGAUGGGAAGCAAAGACCAGACUCCCAAGUGAAUAAAGCCAUCUGUGCUUCUCUCUAAA